Non-coding RNA from Monodelphis domestica (gray short-tailed opossum), 4381 nucleotides. The record is from RefSeq and is a predicted model, not a curated record. NCBI's taxonomy places the organism in Eukaryota, Metazoa, Chordata, Mammalia, Didelphimorphia, Didelphidae.
AACCCCGCCUUGGCCUGUAUCCCAAAGAGAUCAGACAGGGUCUAUUUGAACAAAACUGUCCAAAGCCGCUCUGAGUGGUGGCGAAACACUGGGAAGGGAAGGGACGUCCAUCCCGUGGGGAGCCUGCGAUCAUGAUGGGACACUCUGAGCGGCACGACGAGAAGUGGCGAGCGGGACAGGCUCAGAAAAGCCUGGGGAGGCUUAUAGGCUAGGAGGCGAAGCAGAUCUCCACCGUAACAGCAGCAUCGCGGCACGCUCAGUCCAGAGGAAACGCCAUCCACCUCCUGACAGAGAAUGGAUGAACCGAGUGCCGGCGGAAGCAGACUGUUUCCACUCUUUCUUGUGUGUGUGUGUUUCCUUUGGCAGCGUGGCUCAUAUGGAGAUGGCUUUGUAUGUUUCCACGUGUAAAACUGAAAUAAUGCUUCCUGGCAUCUCAGUGGGUUGGGGAAGAGCGGAAGAGAGGAAGAGAAUUUAGAACUCAAAAAAAAGGGUUUCAAUGAAAUUUUAAAAUGGUUUUUAAGGCGAAAAAAGACCACUUCUGGGAAAGAGGCAAAGAAGAGAGAGAGAGCAGAGCGUCUCGGCGCUCAUCUUGCUUCUAUUCUCUCCCGCAAAGAGAAGGAUUUUGGCCUGGGAUGGGCAGAGCCACCACUGCCGAAUCCGAGGAAACGAUACAAAGCAGGGACUGCCAGUUUCCCAGAGUCCUCUCAUUUUAUUCUGCUGAGUAAAAGGAAAUGCUCUCUUUCCUGCUCCUUCAGUUCUGAAUUUUUGCAGCCUCCUUUCCCCUACAGAAGGGAGGGCAGAAUAAUUGGGGCCCAACUCAAAAUCCUCCAAGAAACUCUCAGAGGCCUGGCUUGGUCUUGCUCUCUCUCCAGUGACCUCACUCCCCAGCCCCUCUCAGACUCUAAAUCCCUCUCAAAAUGCUCAGACAAACAAGUCCACCCUGGGACUGAGCCUCACUGAUGGACCCAUCGAAGUUCCGGCUGUUUCUUCCCUCUCCCAGGCCCUCUGGGUGAUUUCAGCCCCAGGGACGGAGCCCUUUCUUUUUCCUGGAGACAUGGCUUGGCCAGAGGCUCCCAGUGUCCUCUUCCAUCUAUAUCACAGCUGGUGAUAGGACUGAUCCAACUUUCCUUCCCUGAAGAGAUGUGCAUUUGCCCUUUUUCAAUCAAGUGGAAGAGCCUCCCUUUGGUGGGUUUCCUCUUCCCAUCUACAAGGCCUCCCCUUGUCCCCCUGCUAAUAGUCAUGAGGUUAGUUUGCUCCAUCCCAAGUCUAUAGCCUGGUCCACCGUCCCAUCUUUCUGUCCCAGUGACUCUCCUCUCCAUUCCCUGAUUGGUACAGUGGAAAGAACCUUGGGUUUGGAAUCUUGGAGAUGGAGUCACACAGGGAUGACUUUGACUAAGUCCCUUUCCCUCUCCUAGACUCAAUAAAGUGAGGAGGUUGAAUCGAAUGAUCUCUAGAACUUUUUCCAGGUACAAAUUCCAGGAUCUCCUCCACCCAGAGCCCUCUCUUGCUCUCAGUUAGCUGCCAACUAGUCUACUUAAGUGUUCAUUCAUCCCAAGAGUGUUUGGAUUCUUGCUACAGUUUAUAAUGCAAAGGACUGAAUCCAAAAUGGCAGGCGUUUGGGUGACCGGCAGUAACAGUGCUUUGGAGAGUGACGGGGACCUUCCAGAAACAGUGCAAGAAUCAAAUGAAUCAUUUUCCAGAGAAGGGAACUGAGGGCACAUGAGGUAAAAUGGCUGCAUCCUCAUUGCCUCUUCUUCAUCUUCAGAGGCCACCCAGCAGAUGGAAUUACUCUCUGAACAGACAUCCUGCUCCUCCAUCCUCCACUCAAUGGCUUUUGACCACAGGAAUAUACUGAGUCACAGAACUGAAGAGCUGGAGGGGACUUCAGUGGCCAUCCAUGUAAGCCAAUGCCUUCUGCCAUACUCCCCCAACAAGUUCAUCCAGCUUCUGCUUGCAGACCCCCGAGGACAGGGUACCCACCACCCCUCCAGGCAGCCCGUGGACUUCUGGACGACCCUAAUUAUUAGCAGAGUGCUCCUGGUCUUCAGCCUCGGUCUGCCUCUUUGUGCCUUGUACCUACUGCCCGUGCUAAUGGUCUGGGGAACCAAGCAAAGAAGUAUGAUGGCCCAUCAGUCAUCCCAUGAGUCUUCUCCAGGCUGAGUAAUGAACAACGUGGGGUCCUUCCCUUCUCUCCAAGCCAUUUUCCUCUCCUGGGAAAUGAGUCUCCAACUGGCCAGUGGUCUUCCUUUCAUCCUCUGCCGUCAGACUUCCUCCUACAUUUCUAAGAUGCUGCUACAAGCCAGUUUUCUUGGUGCCCCCCUGGAGCCCCAGGAAUGGUACCCUCCAGGAACCAGAAGGAGAGAAAGGCAGAGGAAGGGCGGAUGCGGCCCCUUCGAUGACUUAGCCUUGGGGUGUGAUCUCAGAGCAGCUGAGAAAGUGAAGGUCCCCUUGAUGGAACCAGGAGGCAGGAGGGGCUCAGCCUCAGGAAGCCUUCCCUAGUGCCUGGGAGACCGAGGCGAGGCUCCAAAUGGCAACGACCAGAGACGAUGGCCAGGCCCCCUUGGGUCAGUCAAGCCGUGUCUUCAUGCAUGCAAUACUCAUUCAGUUCCACGCAUCUGAAUUCGCGAGCGUCACUCUGGGCCAGUGCCACUUGGGACCAGGAUCCCGAAUUUGGCAGGGGAAGGGACCAGAGGAUAUCUAGGCCAAGCCUCUCAUGUUGCAUGGGAGGAAACCGAGGCCAAGGGAAAUUAAGGUGGCAAAUGGCAAAGCCAGGACUAAGCCGGGGCUCCUCUCCCCCACCCCAAUUUUUUUCUUAGCCCCUGCACCUAGCAUGUAAGUGUUACGUGGUCUACUUUUAGUAUUCUAAAGCUUAGCAGGAAAACACAAAUGCCCACAGGAUGGAUUCACGGGGGAGUCAGCAGCUGGCUGAGAGGAGAGAAGGCCCUGGGAGGAGGAGGGCCAAAGAGCAAAGGACUGGAAGGGAGCCUCCUGUCCCACCACUUCCGCCGAACUCUGAGGAAAGAAGGAAAAGGAAGACUUGCUGACUGAUCCGUGGCGACCGGCCAUGCCGCAGGGGGCAGAACUUCUGUUCAGCAGCUCCCCCUCCGGUGAGGGCUCAGGCUCUGCCUCCGACUCCUCGGCUCCGGCCAUCCGCUCCAGCCGCUCCGCAUCACUGAGGCUUUCUACGAAGCCCCAUCGAGGACCUCGCAGGUAAAGCAAGCGGCUGUUGGAGCCCUUGGCUUGGCUCAGAGGACGUUAGGAACCGGGCAUGAGCUUGGGCGAGCAAAUGGCUCCGAUGCCAACACCACCACCGCUAGCGAGAGGGAAAUGAAGUCAAGAAGCCCUUGCUUUGUCCCCUCCCCCACCAGGACCUCCAGAAAAGAGGCUUCUCCUUAUUUGGGCUAUUCUUCUUCUUCUUCCUUUUUUUUAAUUAAACCCUCACCUUCUGUCUCAGAGUCAAUACUGUGUAUUGGCUCCAAGGCAGAAGAGUGGUCAGGGCUAGGCCAUGGGGGUCAAGUGACUUGCCCAGGGUCACACAGCUGGGAAGUGUCUGAGGCCAGAUUUGAACCUAGGACCUCCCGUCUCUAGGGCUGGCUCUUAAUCCACUGAGCUACCCAGCUGCCCCCUUUUGGCUAUUCUUCAAAAGAGGAUGUACUUAUAAGCCUCGCUGGCAAAAACCGUCUAGAGGAGAACUUCUGAGCUCUCAAGCUGAAGAAAUCAGGACAAAGGGCAAUAUGAUCACACUCCAGCUGAAUGCAGUCUUUAAGGGUGCCUCUAGCCCAGAGGCUGCCCUUCCUCAUUCAUGUAUUUAUUACAUAAGCAUAUUUUUAAAGCCUUAUCUUCCAUCUUGGAAUCAAUACUGUGGAUUGAUUCUAAGGCAGAAAAGUGGUAAGGCCUAGGCCAUGGGGGUCAAGUGACUUGCCCAGGGUCACACAGUGCAUAAGAGGGAAUGACUAGUAAUGAAAAAUUGAAUUUUGAAGAAAUGUCUCAGAAGAAGAGCAGAUGGAACCCCAGAUGACAUCGGGGGAUGGGAUGGAAUUUCCAGCCAGGCUCAAAAGGCCGUUGGGGGAACACCAAGAGGUCUUGUCCUGGGUUCCUGGAGCCGGGAGGGAGAACUACACUUGGCUGGGGAGAUACACAAAUCUCUCAAUCCUUUCACCUGAGCAGCAGAAGAUCUUCUCUCUCAACUGGUCACAAUCUUUAGGAUAAAGACUCCUUUUUUCCCUUAGGGGAACCCAGAGCUUCUUUCUAAAGAAGACUUCCUGGUUCAAACCCUCAAGACCUGUAUAGGGAAGAUCACUAGGGAUUUCCUUUUCCCCGUCCUGUUUACCCUUCAACCCUCUAUAUUUAAACAAAAUGGACAUCUUGAUUUGAAUAGAAA